UGGAAGAAUGGAUACUGUACUUGCAUCCUCCCUUUACCCUCUAGUUUCCUCGUUGCCAGACCUCAGGGAGACCUGAAGCCUUGGGAAACCAUUGAAGUAAUACAUUCACAGUGGAGAAGGAUGAAGACUAGAUCUGAAAGGCAAACAGAAAACAAUUAGGGGAGUUAGUAAACAUACAAUUAAAAACGCUUGUCGCUAAAAAGUGAAUUAAGAUCAAGAAAAAAUGGUUUCUGAUUUUACUAUAAGAGAAAGUAGUACAUAUUUUUGAAUAAAAGAGAUGUCAUAAAUUGAAGCAGAUUGAAGAAAAUGUGGAGAAAGAGAAUAGUUGAGGAAACAACUUUAAAGUCAGGAACUGCCACAUCAAUGACAAACGAGUCCAAGAUGAUCAAGGCAAUAGGGAAUAUAUGAAUAAACACACACACACA
Molecule: non-coding RNA, 425 nt
Organism: Vicugna pacos (alpaca)
Lineage: Eukaryota; Metazoa; Chordata; Mammalia; Artiodactyla; Camelidae
Source: RefSeq, a predicted model, not a curated record